This 422-nucleotide ribosomal RNA is filed under the name uncultured bacterium. Its description in RNAcentral is "bacterial SSU rRNA". It matches the Rfam family "Bacterial small subunit ribosomal RNA", at positions 355 to 774 of the family's 1533-position model. The record is from RNAcentral.
UAAGGAAUAUUGGACAAUGGAGGCAACUCUGAUCCAGCCAUGCCGCGUGAAGGAAUAAGGCCCUAUGGGUUGUAAACUUCUUUUAGACGGGACAAAACCCCUUUACGUGUAAAGGGUUGAUGGUACUGUCAGAAUAAGCAUCGGCUAACUUCGUGCCAGCAGCCGCGGUAAUACGAAGGAUGCAAGCGUUAUCCGGAAUUAUUGGGUUUAAAGGGUGCGUAGGCGGACUAAUAAGUCAGUGGUGAAAGCCUGCAGCUUAACUGCAGAAUUUCCAUUGAUACUGUUAGCCUUGAGUACAGUUGAGGUAGGCGGAAUGUGUCAUGUAGCGGUGAAAUGCUUAGAUAUGACACAGAACACCGAUUGCGAAGGCAGCUUGCUAAGCUGUAACUGACGCUGAGGCACGAAAGCGUGGGGAGCAAACA